Molecule: ribosomal RNA, 505 nt
Filed under: uncultured bacterium
Lineage: Bacteria
Description: bacterial SSU rRNA
Rfam family: Bacterial small subunit ribosomal RNA
Source: RNAcentral
CAGAACGAACGCUGGCGGCGCGUCUUAAGCAUGCAAGUCGAGUGGUAAGGGUAGCUUGCUACCCCUAGAACGGCGGACUGGUGAGUAACACGUGGGUGACGUACCCUUAUGACCGGGAUAGCUGGUAGAAAUAUCAGAUAAUACCGGAUACGAUCCUUAACGUCAGAGGUUAAGGAGGAAAGAUGCUCCGGCAUCGCAGAAGGAACGGCCCGCGGCCCAUUAGCUAGUUGGUGAGGUAAAGGCCCACCAAGGCAGUGAUGGGUAUCCGGCCUAAGAGGGUGGACGGACACAUUGGGACUGAGAUACGGCCCAGACUCCUACGGGAGGCAGCAGCUAAGAAUAUUCCGCAAUGGGCGAAAGCCUGACGGAGCGACGCCGCCGUGGACGAUGAAGGCCGAAAGGUUGUAAAGUCCUUUUGAACCUGACGAAUAAGCAGCGCAGGAAAUGGCGGUGCGGUGACGGUAGGGUUUGAAUAAGCAACGGCUAAUUACGUGCCAGCCGCCGC